RNAcentral lists this long non-coding RNA (1362 nucleotides) under Heterocephalus glaber (naked mole-rat). RNAcentral describes it as "lncRNA (ENSHGLG00100039871.1)". Lineage: Eukaryota; Metazoa; Chordata; Mammalia; Rodentia; Bathyergidae. The record is from RNAcentral.
UAUAAAUUGAUUACAUUGGUUAUCAUUGAUGUUUAAGCGCUAAAUAUGUCAUUGUAAAAUGUUUACAUUGGUUACGUUCUCAAUAUGUUAUUGUAAUAUGUCCACAUUGGUCAUCUUCAAAAGCUUAAUUUCUGUGUCAUAAACAAGAGUGUUAUUAGAUGGUUUUGGAACCAAACCACAGUGAAGAACAUAAGGUUUUAUGUAACUGUGAUAUUUAUUACUGCUCCUUUUCUGGUGUACAACAUGUAUUCAUGCCCUCUAAUUGUAUGGGUCUUCUAACAUUGUUUAUGGUAAUAACCUUUUGAUUCAGGUAUUUGCCCUUCUCUUAUGCUCCAGCCACCUAUGAAAAUAGGCACACUUGUAGGCUGAUAUAUUUUCCUUAGAUGAUGUCCUAUAAAAAGAUAGCUACUCAGGGAUCCAACCACAACAGCAACUAUCAUUGGCAAUAAUAACAGUUUAACUAUAUUUUUAUUCCAAAAUGCUUAUAUCCAGGUAAAAUUAUAAUAGUUGAGUUCACUACUCCUCUUACAAUGCUAAUGUUAUUGAUCUUCUCUUCUGGGUGUUCAACAACCAAAGUUUAGAGACCAAAACUGAAGAGGUAUUUGGGCUAAGAAGGCAGCCAAUAUUUUGGCCCUGGCCCUCCAAGGUCAACAACAAUAACAAAAAGAUCCAGGACAUAAGGGAACUAUCUCUGAGAUCCUGUAUUUUUGGUGAGUCAUCCAACCUCCUGAGCAGGGAGGUUGCUGAACACCAAAACAGUAAAGAUCCAACAAAAAGUGUGCCAAAGGAAUGUCACCUGGAGGAAAAAAUCUCCCAUGCUUUCGCAGGAAGCAACAUGGUCAAGCAAGGCCGUGACAUAUCCUUAUGGCUGACACUGACAGAGGAGCUAAGAGGCUCUAUGCAUGGUUCCAAGACAGUGCCUGUGGAGACUUAAUUGACCUUGUUAGAUAACAAGAGAUUGAUUUUAUUUAAUAUAGGUCUCACCGUAACUUGGUCUUAAACACCCAGUAGAAAAGUAUAACUAAAGACAAUGGUUAUUUGAGUUCAACAAAAGUUUUAAGUUUUUAAACCCAAUGUUUAAAAACAAAUUGCUAGAUUUUUUAAUCCUUUUUAAUUUUUAAUCCUAAGAAAAAUUAUGCUUAUUAUAGACAGCUAAGCCAGUCAAACUAUAGAUCCUCACACUACAUAGGGACAAGCCAUUGCUCGGUUGGCCACCCAGAAAAUAAUUAUUCUGGUCUUAAUUCACUAAGGGGACCCCCUAGUAAUUUUUAUAAUCUUAUGGGAGACACACCACAACAAAUAUUGUCUCAAUGUGUUAUUAUAAAUUGAUUACAUUGGUUAUCAUUGAAGUUUAAAUUCUAA